This 1095-nucleotide long non-coding RNA is filed under the name Pan troglodytes (chimpanzee). Its description in RNAcentral is "lincRNA". The record is from RNAcentral. Lineage: Eukaryota; Metazoa; Chordata; Mammalia; Primates; Hominidae.
GAGAUUGCCAUCUACCAGGGUAUUCUCUCCCACCCCUUUCCCACCCCAGGUCAUCACCAGUGAAAGUUCUGACACUUGCACUUCUCCGGCAAGCCAGGGCCGGGGCUUCACUGCCAGCCAGCAGGAGGAUGAGCCAGCUCUGCAAUUCCACUUCAGAGUCCAUCUUCUGGGAUCACUCUUGGCACCAACUGUAUUGAGUUGAGUUCUGGGAAAUAGACUUGCAGGUCAUACAAAAACAAGUAUAAUAAUAUAUUUUGCCUAUAGGUGCCAAGACCUGCAUUGUUUCCUUUCAGAUACUUUUCUUUAUUGUAUUUGGGAACAAACCAGCUAUAGCAUGAGGAAGGGAUGUCAAGUGGAGAUAGAAGAGAAGAAAACUGGAUGUGCCAACACUGUCAUACACAGGGAUUUUCAGCAGUUUCAUGAAGCUACUGGAAGAUCUUUUCUUUGCUUGCCUAUAAACCCAUGCCAUCCAGUUCUCUCAGUCAUAGUGAGCUAUUCUUGGAAAAGCCCUUGCAUCAAUCAGUGUCCCAACAGGAAAUGGUUGGCAUCCCAGAUGAAGAUGAUAAAGGGACUGUUUACAAAGUUUUGGGGAAACUCCAAGGAAUAGUGUAAUAGCCCAGUCCUGUUACCACCCCUGCACCCAAAGUGACAAGGGGAGGGGGUGGAGACUGGGACAAGGGAAAAUCAUCUAGGGAAGGAUACCUUUACUGGAUCAGCAGCCUUCAGUUGGAGGAACACAGCCAGCUCCUGGUGACCCCACAGGGAGAGAGCGGGAGCACUAAGGAUUCCAAACUCAGUCCUCCUGAUCUUCAUCAGUAUUCGUCAUUGGCCAAACAAAUAACUGAAAUUCAGAGGGCAAGAGAGCUUGUUGUUAUCUAAACAGGUCAGCAUGGCAGACAGUGAGGCGAAGAGGGAGGGAAGGUGGAUUUGGAAGAGCAAUCGGGAGUGACCUAGUGCAGCCCUGAUAAACCCGAAAGCAGUGUUCCUCUCAAGAUAUUAUGGGGUCCCAGGGAGAUGCAGUGUCCAGGGAAGCAGAGGCAGCAGCACGGCUGCAGGAAGAAGUCAGGGUGGAACCCACACAGAGUGCAUUCCCAG